GCAUGUGAGGGUGAUCUGGCUGUGACAUCUGUCACUCCACUGAUCGCCAGAGUUGAUCUGGCUGAUCUGGCUGGCUAGGCAGGUGUCUCCUUCCUCCCUCACCACUCUAUGUGUGUCCCUUCCAAAGCAAAGCUGCGCACUCAGUCAAGGAGGACAGCCUUCCCUGAGUAAAGACAGACCAGUGCUGCAUGUUAAUGUACUCCCCUGCUAGAACCUCCAAACAAGUGCUCUCACGAAUAAAGGAUCAAACCAUCAGCAUCUAAACUAGAAUCUGGCCCUGAGUUUUUCUGAAUUA
RNAcentral lists this small nuclear RNA (295 nucleotides) under Erinaceus europaeus (western European hedgehog). RNAcentral's name for it is "7SK RNA". It matches the Rfam family "7SK RNA". Rfam says of the family: 7SK was discovered as an abundant small nuclear RNA in the mid-70s but a possible function has only recently been suggested. Lineage: Eukaryota; Metazoa; Chordata; Mammalia; Eulipotyphla; Erinaceidae. The record is from Rfam by way of RNAcentral.